UAUGGCCAUACCACCCUGAAUGUGCCUGAUCUCGUCUGAUCUCAAAAACUAAGCAGGGUUGGGCCUGGUUAGUAUUAAUACUUGGAUGGGAGAAAAGCAGGACAAAAGAAAGCCAUCA
Molecule: ribosomal RNA, 118 nt
Filed under: Propithecus coquereli (Coquerel's sifaka)
Lineage: Eukaryota; Metazoa; Chordata; Mammalia; Primates; Indriidae
Source: RNAcentral